Molecule: ribosomal RNA, 321 nt
Filed under: Lamproderma ovoideum
Lineage: Eukaryota; Evosea; Eumycetozoa; Stemonitida; Stemonitidae
Description: bacterial SSU rRNA
Rfam family: Eukaryotic small subunit ribosomal RNA
Source: RNAcentral
UCUGAAUCUGCGUACGGCUCCGCAAACCAGUUGUAAACUAUAGCAAGCAGGCUCGGGGUCGGCUCUCACGGGUUGGCUUCGGGCGAUAUGGAUAACCCUGGUAAUUCUGAGGCUAAUACAUGAACGUAAAACCUGGUUGACUGGGCUUCGGUCUGGGAGGCUGGGGGAUGUGUGAUUGCAGGCUUGGGUAAUACCGGGAAAGGGCUCACGUCCAGACCGCGCUAUAAAGGAUGGGACCUCUUCGGGGGACCCGCCCCAGCGGCUCUUGCUGUGUGCUUCUGACCUAUCAACUAGACGGCAGCGUAAGGGACAUGCUAUGGU